This 101-nucleotide transfer RNA is filed under the name Caudoviricetes sp. Its description in RNAcentral is "tRNA-OTHER". It matches the Rfam family "tRNA". From Rfam's summary of the family: Transfer RNA (tRNA) molecules are approximately 80 nucleotides in length. Their secondary structure includes four short double-helical elements and three loops (D, anti-codon, and T loops). The record is from RNAcentral. Lineage: Duplodnaviria; Heunggongvirae; Uroviricota; Caudoviricetes.
ACCCAAGUAGCUCAGUUGGUUAGAGCGAGGUCAAUUCAUCUAAAAAUCCAUGACCUUUAAAAGAUGGUUUAGAGACGCAGGUUCGAGUCCUGUCUUGGGUG